GGUAUUACGCCGGAGUUGAACGGAUUACAUUGAUGCUGUAAAAUAUGAGAUUUUUGUUUCUCUAGUACCU
This 70-nucleotide transfer RNA is filed under the name Nodopelta heminoda. Its description in RNAcentral is "tRNA-Ile". The record is from RNAcentral. Lineage: Eukaryota; Metazoa; Mollusca; Gastropoda; Neomphalida; Peltospiridae.